This 302-nucleotide ribosomal RNA is filed under the name uncultured bacterium. Its description in RNAcentral is "bacterial SSU rRNA". It matches the Rfam family "Bacterial small subunit ribosomal RNA", at positions 29 to 320 of the family's 1533-position model. The record is from RNAcentral.
AACGAACGCUGGCGGCGCGCCUAAUACAUGCAAGUCGAACGAGAAGGUGUAGCAAUACACUUGUACAGUGGCGAACGGGUGAGGAAUGCAUGGGCAACCUACCCUCGAGUGGGGAACAACCAGCCGAAACGGUUGGCUAAUACCGCGUACGCUUCCGGGUCUCCGGAUCCGGAAGGAAAGUCACACCGUGGGUGUGACGCUCAAGGAUGGGCUCAUGUCCUAUCAGCUUGNGGUGAGGUAACGGCUCACCAAGGCAACGACCGGGUAGCUGGUCUGAGAGGACGAUCAGCCACACUGGGCAC